GCAUAUAUCAUUGAUCAUAAUUUUUGAAUAUAAUAUACCUUAAUUAUUGAUCACUAUAGAAGAUACUCUUGCUUCGAUAGAUACUAUACAUUUUUUACUCAAUCAUGUCGAUAUAUGGAACACAUUAAGAUUGUUUAAUCUUGCCAGUCAAACACUAAGGGUGAGAUUGCAACCUUCAAGGAAAAGUAGGAAACGUGUAUUAAAAAAAACACCAUAAACAUGGCUUGUCCUUUCCUUUUACAUAUAAAAAUAAAAAUGAUACAGUAAGCAUGGGCCCACUAAAACACGUGACACAUAGU
This 299-nucleotide long non-coding RNA is filed under the name Medicago truncatula (barrel medic). RNAcentral describes it as "long non-coding RNA (MTRU_LNC004675)". Lineage: Eukaryota; Viridiplantae; Streptophyta; Magnoliopsida; Fabales; Fabaceae. The record is from RNAcentral.